UGACCUCGAAUCAGGUAGGGAUACCCGCUGAACUUAAGCAUAUCAAUAAGCGGAGGAAAAGAAACCAAC
RNAcentral lists this ribosomal RNA (69 nucleotides) under Neoerysiphe galeopsidis. RNAcentral describes it as "partial 28S ribosomal RNA". It matches the Rfam family "Eukaryotic large subunit ribosomal RNA", at positions 1 to 69 of the family's 3401-position model. Lineage: Eukaryota; Fungi; Ascomycota; Leotiomycetes; Helotiales; Erysiphaceae. The record is from RNAcentral.